This is a long non-coding RNA of Melanotaenia boesemani (Boeseman's rainbowfish), 366 nucleotides long. RefSeq lists it as uncharacterized. NCBI's taxonomy places the organism in Eukaryota, Metazoa, Chordata, Actinopteri, Atheriniformes, Melanotaeniidae. The record is from RefSeq and is a predicted model, not a curated record. The transcript has 3 exons.
CUGGAGGGCCCGUCCGUCCGUCGCUGAGCAGGGCCACACCACAACGAGGCUCUGAAAAAGAAAAGCGCAUCUGUUAUGGUUUAAAGUUGAAAGAGCUAAAAAAUAUUCACCUACUCUUCCAAAAGAGCCCUGACCCCACAGCUGAAGGGCUAGAUGAUCAAUACUACUUCAUCCUGGAACAAAAAGGGGGCAUACUACUGGUGCAAAAUGGAGUGGAUAGGAAACAAGAUUGGGCCACAGACUGUUGCACUGUGAAAUUAAAGGUUGCUCCUGGGAAUCCUUGAACUGUUGUGUGCUGGGGCCUCGGACAGAAGGACGAGGAGCGAGGAGAGACAGAUGCCUGUGUUGGUGCAUGAAUAAAGUGUG